Molecule: long non-coding RNA, 1816 nt
Organism: Manacus vitellinus (golden-collared manakin)
Lineage: Eukaryota; Metazoa; Chordata; Aves; Passeriformes; Pipridae
Source: Ensembl
AUGUCAAUAGGAGGAGACCUGGGGAUCCCAGAUGAAGGCUUCCUGGGAAUCUCGGGGGUAGGCUCCCAAGGGAUUUCAAUUGAAGGAACCAUGGGGAUCUCUGAGGGCUUCCUGGGGAUCUCAGCUGCAGGAACCACAGGGAUCUCAGCUGCAGGAACCACAGGGAUCUCAGCAGGGACCACAGGGAUCUCAGCUGCAGGGAAUCCAGGGAUCUCAGCUGCAGGAACCACAGGGAUCUCAGCUGCAGGAACCCCAGGGAUCUCAGCUGCAGGGACUCCAGGGAUCUUAACUGCAGGGACUCCAGGGAUCUCAGCUGCAGAAACCCCAGGGAUCUCAGCUGCAGGGACUCCAGGGAUCUCAGCUGCAGGAACUCCAGGGAUCUCAGCUGCAGGAUCCUUCCAGGCUCCCUCAGCAGCAUCCCCUCUGAAAGCUGCCGUGAUCUUGGGUUGGAGAGGCUUCCCUGGCAUCCCCUGGCACGCCUCUCCUGAAGGAGCCGCGGCUCCGUUGUCAGGGAUCACUGGUGCACCGUCACGUACACCCAAGCCACCAGCCUGCCCUGCCUUUGAGGGCUUGGUGGCCUUUGUCUUCCCUGGGGACUGUGCCCCUGGCUCCUUCCCCUUCUGCCUCGGGGGAGCACUCCCAGCUGGAUCCCCCUCAUCCACGCCAGGGCCGGGCACUGGCGGCUUGCUCUCCGCCGCCUCCUCACUGCUCAUCCUCCCCAAAGCCGCCUUGGCCACCUUCUCCUUCCCUUUGCUCUUCCGAGAGGACAUUGGGGAGCCCGGAGGUGCCUUCCCGGGUCCCUGUGUGGGCCCCUGAGCCGCAGCCCCCCCAGGCUCCCUGUCCCCCUCAGCAGUGCUGGUCCCUCGCUGCUUGCGGCUCUUCUUCUGCUGCCCCGGCACCUUGGGCCUCACCACGCUGGGGGACCCGGCUGGGGAGCUCUGCUCAGCCCCUGCCCUCUCCCCUCUCGCCUCCUCCUGCACAGCCCCCGGGGAUGGGCUGGGGGGGUCACACGAGGGUCCCCGCAGCUUGGGCUCCGAGUGGGAAGCGCUGGGAUGCCUUUUCCUGGCAGGGGGUGCUGGUGAACUACCCCCCGCCAGAGUCCCUGGCUGUGCCACCACCUCACUGCCGUGGGGUUGUCCCCUCCUGUGUCCCCUCCCUGCUCAGGGGCACUUGGAGUGUUGGGGGUCUCCAUGUCCCGGCUGCCUCGGGCCGCUCCUUUCUCCGACGCUGCCGCUUCACCUGUGCGUCCUGCCCCGGGUUGUCCUGGGCUGUGCCACCAGCCUGGCGGCCAGGGGGCUGCAGGGGGGGCGAGGGGGUGCCUCCUCUGUGCGCUGGCAUGCAGGCGAUGGGCAGCCGGCUGGUCACUCUCGCACAGGAACCUGCCGACCGAGCCCAGCUCCGCUUCGUCCUCGCUGCCCGACAGCAGCUCCGGAGGGGAGAGGUGCCCACCGGCCUGCCAGCGCAGGGGGGUGUCUCCGGGCACCCCACGUGGGGCAGAGCUCCCCGUGCCAGGUGCUGGCUCGCUGCCCUGCCCGGCUGGGAUCAGCCUGUCGGGGCUGGCGUGGCUGUCCCCUUGCUCAAUGUCACUGAGGCACUGCUCCUCGGCCGGUGGAUCCAGCGAGGCCGGGGCGAGGUUGCACUCCUCUGAGGCCAAGAAGAACUCAGCCCAUUCCCUGUCGUUCAGCUGGAUGCUGUACUCGAAGUUAUCCAUGCCUGCAGCGGGAAAGCAAAGUGGGGAGGGGGGGAGAGAUGGGGGCAUGAGGAGGUGGCACUAGUGUUGGCAGACAUAGGUGAGGUGUGUGCCCUUAAUCCUGUC